RNAcentral lists this non-coding RNA (23 nucleotides) under Cricetulus griseus (Chinese hamster). The record is from RNAcentral. Lineage: Eukaryota; Metazoa; Chordata; Mammalia; Rodentia; Cricetidae.
CGAUAUACAUUAAUGUAUUAUGG